ACGGGAGGCAGCAGUGAGGAAUAUUGGUCAAUGGGCGAGAGCUUGAACCAGCCAAGUCGCGUGCGGGACGAAGGCCCUACGGGUCGUAAACCGCUUUUAUACGGGAAUAAAGUGCGCCUCGUGAGGCGUUUUGCAGGUACCGUAGGAAUAAGGAUCGGCUAACUCCGUGCCAGCAGCCGCGGUAAUACGGAGGAUCCGAGCGUUAUCCGGAUUUAUUGGGUUUAAAGGGUGCGUAGGCUGUGCGUCAAGUCAGUGGUGAAAGCCCGGGGCCUAACUCCGGAACUGCCGUUGAUACUGGCGUGCUGGAAUACGGAUGCCGUGGGAGGAAUGAGUAGUGUAGCGGUGAAAUGCAUAGAUAUUACUCAGAACACCGAUUGCGAAGGCAUCUCACGAAUCCGUUAUUGACGCUGAGGCACGAAAGCGUGGGGAUCAAACAGGAUUAGAUACCCUGGUA
This 454-nucleotide ribosomal RNA is filed under the name uncultured Parabacteroides sp. Its description in RNAcentral is "partial 16S ribosomal RNA". It matches the Rfam family "Bacterial small subunit ribosomal RNA", at positions 341 to 792 of the family's 1533-position model. The record is from RNAcentral. Lineage: Bacteria; Pseudomonadati; Bacteroidota; Bacteroidia; Bacteroidales; Tannerellaceae.